UACGUAGGCAGCGAGCGUUGUUCGGAGUUACUGGGCGUAAAGCGUGCGUAGGCGGUGUCUUAAGUUUGUUGUGAAAUCUCCCGGCUUAACCGGGAGGGUGCGGCGAAUACUGAGAUGCUGGAGUGCGGGAGAGGUAAGCGGAAUUCCUGGUGUAGCGGCGAAAUGCGUAGAUAUCAGGAGGAACACCUGCGGUGUAGACGGCUUACUGGACCGUAACUGACGCUGAGGCACGAAAGCGUGGGUAGCAAACAGG
This 253-nucleotide ribosomal RNA is filed under the name uncultured bacterium. RNAcentral describes it as "partial 16S ribosomal RNA". It matches the Rfam family "Bacterial small subunit ribosomal RNA", at positions 524 to 776 of the family's 1533-position model. The record is from RNAcentral.